RNAcentral lists this ribosomal RNA (198 nucleotides) under uncultured bacterium. RNAcentral describes it as "partial 16S ribosomal RNA". It matches the Rfam family "Bacterial small subunit ribosomal RNA", at positions 328 to 539 of the family's 1533-position model. The record is from RNAcentral.
ACGCUCGACACCUACGGGAGGCAGCAGUGGGAAUAUUGCACAAUGGGGGAAACCCUGAUGCAGCGACGCCGCGUGGAGGAAGAAGGUCUUCGGAUUGUAAACUCCUGUUGUUGGGGAAAAAGAGGAUGGUACCCAACAAGGAAGUGACGGCUAACUACGUGCCAGAAGCCGCGGUAAUCUGAGCGGGGCUGGCAAGGC